Trifolium pratense (red clover) is the source of this 1173-nucleotide long non-coding RNA. RefSeq lists it as uncharacterized. Lineage: Eukaryota; Viridiplantae; Streptophyta; Magnoliopsida; Fabales; Fabaceae. The transcript is spliced from 2 exons. The record is from RefSeq and is a predicted model, not a curated record.
ACCGACUCAAUUUUAAUUUGUUAAGCAAUGAAUGAAGGAAAGGGCCUCCUUCUGCAGUUUGUGUAAUUGCAAUAUUUACUACAAAUUUCCUAUUCCUGCAUACUUCUUGGGAUUUUUCCAAACCAUUAAUACUUUUCUUGGCCUCAAUUUACACUCUUCUUCUACUCAAUUCAAUUCAUUUACACCUCUUCUCUCUCUCUUCUUUCUCUCUCUACACCUUACACCAUCUCAAUUAAAUUAACCUUUAAUUCACUUCCCUUCAUUUCCCUUGUAUAAAUCCCCCUUCAACCCUCCCUCCAUUCUCACAAUCACAACAACUCUGUUAUUCACUCCUCUGUUCUUUCUUCCAACCCUUUUUCCCUUCUAUUACCAAAAAACUCUUAAAACAGAGGAAAAACAGAGCAAAACAGAGGAAAACAGAGGAGGAAGAUGAGUCGAAGAAACGGAAGUGGACCAAAGCUUGAUUUGAAGCUGAACCUAUCACCACCAAGAGUUAACAGAAGAAUGGAAUCAUCACCAACACGAUCAGCAUCGGUAUCGCCUCCGAGUUCAUGUGUUUCGUCGGAGAAUGGAUCAAACAGCCCUGAAGCAAUAUCCAUGCUUUUAGUUGGUUGUCCUCGUUGUCUUAUGUAUGUGAUGCUCUCUGAGAAUGAUCCAAAAUGUCCCAAAUGUCACAGCACUGUUUUGCUUGAUUUUCUCAACACUGAGAACAACAACAAUAACAAGAAGUGUUAAAAACAGAGUACUCUGUUUCAAAGCUCUGUUUUUCUCACAACUAGGAAUAUGAAUAUUAUUAUUAGUAGUAGUAUUAGUAAUUUAGUAUCAGUAGUAACUUUUAAUUUAAUCCUAGGAAUAUGUUCUAUUAUUUAAAUUUUUCUAUUUUAAUUUUCUAUGAGUAGUGCUACAAACGCUCCAUUUUUACCAUCUUUCAUUGAGGUGAAAAAUUUCAAACAAUUUUGUCAAAGAAAAAGAGAAAGAAACGAGAAGUGGAGCGUAAGUAGCACUAUUCUUAUCAUCAAUAUAUGGUAAAAUAUGAAGAAAAAAAAUGUUAUUGGGAAAUUCAGGAAUGUUAGGGGUUUCAGACUUUCAGUGUAGUAGGGGAUAACCUAAUGUACCCUUUUAGUUUUCUUGUUGAAAUUUAAGGUCAAAAUCAAAUCUUUUAGUUUAUCUUCA